UACGAAGGGGGCUAGCGUUGCUCGGAUUGACUGGGCGUAAAGGGCGCGUAGGCGGUUCGUACAGUCAGACGUGAAAUUCCUGGGCUCAACCUGGGGGCUGCGUUUGAUACGUGCGGACUUGAGUGCGGAAGAGGGUCGUGGAAUUCCCAGUGUAGAGGUGAAAUUCGUAGAUAUUGGGAAGAACACCGGUGGCGAAGGCGGCUCACUGGCUCAUAUCUGACGCUCAGGCGCGACAGCGUGGGGAUCAAACAGG
Molecule: ribosomal RNA, 253 nt
Filed under: uncultured bacterium
Lineage: Bacteria
Description: partial 16S ribosomal RNA
Rfam family: Bacterial small subunit ribosomal RNA
Source: RNAcentral